UACACCUACUCCAACAAGGGUACACCUCCAAGUAGUGCCACUCCCUGAGCCAAGCACACACAAACCGUCACAUAGAUGAGUCAGGCAGAACAGUCUGGGCAUUGGUAUAAAUGCUUCAACUUGCAGCUAUUAAAUAAGACUUGUUACAGUGAACGCUUAGCAAUAGGAGAAGGUGCACAUUUCAAACAAUGUGGGAACUGGUACACGUAGGGGAAAUGUUGCUAGUAAACCCAGCACAAGGCUGGGUAAGACAGCCCUGCUGCACUGGGUGAAAUUCUGAGCUUGUAACAGUGACUGGAGUGCCACCGUGUCCUCCUGUGUGCAAUUAUUAUUAUUGUUGUUAUUGUUAUUGUCAACUCACUAUAAACCAAGGUCACCUGCUGUGGGCGAGCACGGCCACCUGGGCUCCUGAUCCUGGAGGCUGUCAGAAAGCAGGCCAAGCAAGCCAGAUGGAGCAAGCUAGUAAGCAGUUUUAUUCCAUGCCCCCUGCUUCAGUCUCUGCAUCCAGGUUCCUUCUCUGACUUCAUGAAAGACUCUAAGCUGUCAGAAUCUACUUCAUUUGGUGCCACACACUUACAGUCCUAACUACUGGGGCAGCUGAAGCAACUGAAGAUCAGACCCAGGGAUUCAAGGCCAACCUGGGCAAUGCAAUGGCAUUAUGUUUCUAAAACAACAAUAAAACUAAGUUGAAAAAAAUUUUCCCAGCACUAGUAUUACAACAUACCUGGAAUUCAUUCAUUCAUUCAGUUUUGAUCCUGUGGACCAGCUGCUUCCUGGGCCCAUGGGGUCCUUUGCAGGCAGCUAGCCAAGAGAGAGAGGAAGCGGCUCCUGGAAUCACAGACCCAGGCUGGGAAGAGUGUACACCACCCCCUAGGGAGCUGCAGUGAUCCUCUCUGAGCCCCUCAGAAAGUGCUGCGACCAUGGACAACAUUGGUUGACGAUGGACGAUUCAAAUUCUGGAGUGCAAAGACAAAGAUAAAGGAAGAUGAUGUACUCACAUUCCAGUGGAUGAAAUGAGUCACAUGGCCCCACCCAGAAACACAGCUGUACGUGCACUGUCCUUAAGAGCCCAGAGCAGAAGGGAAAUAGUGAAUGUGCGGCUUUGCGCUUGGCACAGUACAACAAAUAUUUAAAAACACAGAAAAGUUGUUUCCUAUUUGAGCCUGGAAACAGCUGUUAGGAAUUGGAUUCAUCUUCUCAUCUCUCUAUGGACUUGAGCUGCCUCAGUUUGGAGCUGGGGCUUACACCUGAGGCAUGGUGAGUGCUUCCACCGCCCAGGAUUUCCUCUGUCCAGAGUCACAUUGUGUGGCCCAGACUGACCUCAGACUCAACAGGCCUUGGUGUCUUGUGCUACCAUCCCUAGAACAUUUUAACAUUGUGUGUGUACACGUGUGCGUGCAUGUAUGUAUCCGUGUGCACGUGUGUGUGCACAUGUGCAUCUGUGUAUUACACGCUUAGUUUUAUAUACCUCAUUUUCACCCAUAUUCCUGUCUAUUUCCUUUCUUAAAAAGUUCAACUCCCAACUCUCCAAUAUACUAGUUGGAUAAAUUUGGAAACAUUUUUAUUUUUCAUGUUUCUUUUCAGUCCCUAAGAUGAUGGCAAAAAGGAUAGCCACUAAAGAGGCCAUCAUGGUGGCCAGAGCUCAGACACGGUAGAGUCUAGUGCACAAAGUCAGUUGUCCUCUCAAGAAGCAGAACACUGUCAGUUUAAUACUGAGGCUAGUUUAUUAACACUUAAAUAUUUUAACUAAUUGUUGGAGCAUUUCGUAAAUGUAUUUUAGUCAUAUUGACCCUCAGCUCUUCCUGAGCUACUCCUGCUCAUAUCUUGAUUGCAUCCGUCUCAAUCUCUCCCAGACCCAUCCCCCACCUCUCUAAAUCCAAACUUCAUGUCCUCUCUCUCUCUUUUUAAAUUUUAUUUUAAAAAUAACCCAUGGAAUCUAAUUUGUGCUGCCCAUAUGCUCUGGGGUUGGGGUGGAGCAUGUUAGACUCGCCAGGAGGCACAUUCUUGAAGAAAACCGCCUCUCUGCCAGGCGCGACCAUCUAUCCUCACUCUAUGAUCACUCUAUGAUCAUGAGCCUCUCCCUGCCUUAAGCUAGCACACUGACUUGACUUGAUCUUGGCGGGUUGUGUGCAGGGAGCCGUGGCUACGGUGAGUUCCCAGGGGUCCCCCCCCAUGUCCAGAAGAGUCUGUUUUACUCUAGUCCUCCCCAGACCUUUCUUACAGCCUUGCCACCCUCUGGUUAGCAGUGGAGUCUGGUGUUACGCAUGUGCCUUUAGCUGAGUACCUGACAGGUACCAUCUGUCCUUCAGUUGUGAUUUUCUGCACUAACCACUAGACAGUAAUCUACAAGUGGAUAGAAACAGAUUUUCAGGGCAAUUUGAUACUAUGUCCAUGUAGCAAAUUAAUGGAAUAGGUUCACCCUUGGGUCCCAUGAAUACCCCAGCUGUAUUAGGUGUAUGUUUCCUCUUGUGGAGUGGGCCUUAAACAAGAAAGCAGUUGGUUAUCCCUGUAAAACUUGUGCUACUGUAACACCCAUUGGCAUAUCUUUUCACACUGGUCAUUAUUUCAGUUCACAGGGUUAAGAUUGACUUCUCCCUUCAUUGAGGGUCAAUAUGACUUCAUUGUUGUUAUGCAACAGGCUGCAUAACGCCCUUCAGGCCAUGAGAGCUAGACAUCAUAGAGGAAUAUCUCAGGGUCAGAAUCAACUUGAUUCUUCCAUAUCCUGUGACCAGCGUGUUUAACAUCAAGUUCUAGAGGGUAAUCAAGAGCAUUAAGUGUAGUGAUGGGGUCACCAGGACAUUCCUGACCAAAAACUGGAGGGGAGAAAUGCCACAUCUGGCAGUGGGCUUCUUAUUUGACAACCCAUGAGUUAGUUAUAUUAUGUUUAUAAGAUAGUGAGUUUUUACAACAUUUUUUGUUGGUGUUAAUAAAUUCUCUUUUUAGAACAGUUUUGGUGCAGAGAUGUUCCAUAGCUCUGCCCCACACACAUACAUUUGCACAUCUCCUCUUCAACAUCUGUAACAGAGAGGGCGUUUGCCUCCUCUGGUGAACCUACACUGGCUUAAUAUCCAGUCUCCUUUUAAUAGAAGAAUUCAAUUCUCUUUUGUAAUGGCUUAACUUCCAGGUGAGCCACACAUGCAAAUGUAUUUUAGUUUGGCUUCUCUAGAAAGUUUGGGUCAUUGGGCUUUUUCUUCUCAGGGUCACCAUAAGAGUCAACAAGCAUGAAGCAGAGACAAGAGGAAAAGGUGGUCACUUGUUGCUGGUCUGUGCAAUGGGGAGAUCUAUCCUACAAGAUGUGCCUUGAGAAUUUGUGUAUGUACCUUCUUAAGCUAGAUGUAUCAGAGGCAGAAGUGAGAUUUUACUGAUGGAUUCUCCUCUUGCAUUGGUUAAAGCAUUGCUAGCUGGAAGCUGAUGCUGCACAUGUAGGAGCUGAACAUGACUCAGCCUUUGGUGUCUCCUGUGCUGUCAGACCAAUGCCAGGUAACCAGGAGAGGUAAAGCAAGGUUGAGCAAAGUUGGAUCAUUAUAAUAUCUGUUUUUUUCCCUCACCAUGGAGUAUGUUGAUAACUCACAGAGAGUUCAUUACAUUUAUUUCUGAGCACAUGUUAUUUACAAUCUCUAUAUUUCUUCCUUUACAAUAAAAUUAACAACUGUGUAUAUGAAGGGGCAUUGGUCUCACUCAUCACUAAAGAAAUACUGUCUCCUGAUGUCAGCACUGCUCUUCUUAGGUGAGAUAACCUAACUUAGAGAAAAGAAGGACAAGUUGAUGCCAUCUGAGCAGUCCGAAUUAUUUGCUAUUGUCUUUAGGAACCGUGGCAAGGGAUCCAGAGAAUUAGAAGGCCAGAUGGCCACCUCUGAUCCAUCCUCUUCUGAUUUGCUUCCAGGCAAGUUGUACUCUUAGAUACUUAAAAACUUAAUAAAUUACCUUUGAUUUCCU
Molecule: long non-coding RNA, 3936 nt
Organism: Mastomys coucha (southern multimammate mouse)
Lineage: Eukaryota; Metazoa; Chordata; Mammalia; Rodentia; Muridae
Exons: 4
Source: RefSeq, a predicted model, not a curated record